AUUGAACGCUGGCGGCAGGCCUAACACAUGCAAGUCGAACGGUAACAGGAAGAAGCUUGCUUCUUUGCUGACGAGUGGCGGACGUGUGAGUAAUGUCUGGGAAACUGCCUGAUGGAGGGGGAUAACUACUGGAAACGGUAGCUAAUACCGCAUAACGUCGCAAGCCCAAAGAGGGGGACCUUCGGGCCUCUUGCCAUCGGAUUUGCCCAGAUGGGAUUAGCUAGUAGGUGGGGUAACGGCUCACCUAGGCGACGAUCCCUAGCUGGUCUGAGAGGAUGACCAGCCACACUGGAACUGAGACACGGUCCAGACUCCUACGGGAGGCAGCAGUGGGGAAUAUUGCACAAUGGGCGCAAGCCUGAUGCAGCCAUGCCGCGUGUAUGAAGAAGGCCUUCGGGUUGUAAAGUACUUUCAGCGGGGAGGAAGGGAGUAAAGUUAAUACCUGUGCUCAUUGACGUUACCCGCAGAAGAAGCACCGGCUAACUCCGUG
Molecule: ribosomal RNA, 490 nt
Filed under: uncultured bacterium
Lineage: Bacteria
Description: partial 16S ribosomal RNA
Rfam family: Bacterial small subunit ribosomal RNA
Source: RNAcentral